RNAcentral lists this transfer RNA (53 nucleotides) under Sminthurinus signatus. Its description in RNAcentral is "tRNA-Cys". Lineage: Eukaryota; Metazoa; Arthropoda; Collembola; Symphypleona; Katiannidae. The record is from RNAcentral.
AGCUUAUUGAGUUUUUAGAUUGCAAAUCUUUAUAUGUUGUUAAACUUAAGCUU